GGGGAUAUGGCGGAAUUGGUAGACGCUGCGGACUUAUUUUUUGAGCUUUUUUUAAGAAAAUUAAAAAAAUGUAGAAACCCUAAAUCGAGGAAACCUUUUUGAUAACCUCGAGCUAGUAGAAAUACGAGUGUAGAGACUUUACAGGUUAAACCUAAAAAAUUUGUCAAUAAUUUUGGUAAAGAGAAAGUCCCAUUUUCUUUGUUCUAUAAGUAUAAAAUACUUAUUUUUAAAGAAAUUAGAAAAUCCGUUGAUUUUAAAAAAUCGUGAGGGUUCAAGUCCCUCUAUCCCCA
This is a non-coding RNA of Bryopsis sp. KO-2023, 290 nucleotides long. The record is from the annotation of a GenBank genome assembly. Lineage: Eukaryota; Viridiplantae; Chlorophyta; Ulvophyceae; Bryopsidales; Bryopsidaceae.